AAGGAGUGGUUCUUCUGAGGAAAACCAGCUGAAGUAUUACAGAAAGAGGAAAUGCUGCAGAGACCCAGCCGGAAACAGUGCUGGCCAGCUCACGCCUGACCCACCCUUAUUCUAAGCAUAGGGUCUGCCUCUGAAGAGCUAAAGACUUCCUGAAAUUUAAAAAUUAGUGCUUUUAUUUGCUUGUCCUGCUAAGACCGUAGGCAAAGGCCAUCCUCCUCCCAUUGACAGUUUAGAGUGGGCAGAAACAACCACGGUUACCCUAGAAGUAAAUCCAGAGCUGCGGGACGCUGGAGGACAAAACCAACCUUCCAGGGAAGCCGAGGAGAAGUCAUGCCUUCAAAAGGUGUCUGCCUUUUUUUUUUUCACCCUCUCUCCUCUAACCUGUUUGUAACUGGGAAAUGAAAUAGUUUUGGUUUGCAAGCUGUCGCCAGGGAGUGGAGCAAGACUUUGUAAUAAACAAGAGCAACUGCCAGAGCCCCCAGCGAGCCUCUCCAAGGCCAGACUGCCAAGAAAAGCUGGCAGUGUGACAGCAAGUUUCAUUCAGCGUGGCCGGUGGUCACUGAGGAGCGACCAUGAGGAGGAUGGCCAGAGGGGGUACCCCCCAGUCUCACCUUGGGGAAGAGUACAGCCUCCUAUUAGUGAGCUGUGUGGGCUAUUAAAAUUCCCCCAGGCUGAGUGUUUCAGGAAACACCAUAAAUAAAUAAAAUUGUCUGUGUGUGUGUGUGUGUGUGUGUGUGUGUGUGCAAUUCUCUAGAGAAAAGAUCUAGAGCUUUCACCAAAUUCCCAAGAGCCCACGACCCUUACAGCAGAAGCCAAACUCAGAAUUAGCACACACUUAGGUCUUCUGCAAAAGAACACCAAGCUCACCACUUUUAUUUCUGGAAACUGAGCCUAGGCGGUCAGCCCACUCUCCUCUUACAAAACCCCUAGGCACUUAAGAGACCACAGGGGAAAAAAAAGAACUCAACCCCUUUUCUAAUCUAAACCUAAUCCUUCUUAAACCUUGCCUGACCCGGGUUACCAGGAAUCCUGCCAGUGCCAAAUGAUACGAUGUUUAUUCAGCUCAUGUCUUAGCCCGCUGCUCCUGAGCCACAGAAAUCAAAGGGGAACAUUCAGCCACCACCUGCUGAUCAACGUGUAAACAAAGGGGUAGUCAAGACUGAGGAGGACCAGCUUUUGAGGACAAUCACUGCGUGUUGCUCCAGCUCACAUAAAGGCACGGCUCCUAAGGAACAGGCUUGAGACAUGCACAAGUGCUGUGCCAAGUAGUUCAGGAGCCUGGUACAGCUGUUCCCAAUAUGCCUUUACCUCCUGUUGCCUCUUCUAACCACAAUAGGGUGUGGAUGACAUAGUGCCCUUGCUCCCAGAAGAAACUGGGAAAGUUACAACUCAUUAACCAGUUAGGUUAGUGUUGGAACAGUGCUUGCCACAUUAUUCUGAGAAGCCUCAGAUCCGUGAGGGUGAUGUGGAGCUCAGAACACAUGGCCUGACCCCAUGUGGGGUUUUACUGGAGCAGUUGUUUUGAUCUGUCUUACAUCUGGGGGAUCUGCAAGAGAUUUCGAGGGAUGAGGGCCAGUUCCCUUGCUAAAACUUAGAAUGUUUAAAAAAAAAAAAAACUCCCUUGUACUAUUGAGCUUGGUACAUCUUUCCUUGAAAGGAGCUAAAGUGAAAUAACUUAUAGAUCCUGACAUGCAAUGAGCUGGGUUUUUUUCCAAUUUUCUUUGCUUCUUGUCUCUGAACAUAUGCCUCCUUAUAAUUCUUCCUAUAUGUGUUUGAUAGCAUUGUUCUCUGAGUAAUAGUAACCAUGAGAAGAAUAUCUAACAUUUAUUCCAUGCCUAUUGUGUGCCAUGCCACAUGCUGGGCACUUUAUGUGCCCUUAUCCUACCGGACCCCGCUGCAGCCCUGUGAGUGGAUGGUCCCUCUCUUCAGCUCUCAGGUGACACAAAAACAACAACAACAACAUCCGCAACAGCAACUUCUUCAGUUCAUUUAGUUGAUGAAGAAACUGACAUCUGGAGAAGUUGAAGUAAUUUGCACAAAGAUUCACUUGGCUAACGGAGUUUUGCUCUGUCACCCAGGCUGGAGUGCAAUGGCCCGAUCUCGCCUCACUGCAACCUCCACCUCCCGAGUUCAAGAGAUUCUCCUGCCUCAGCCUCCCAGGGGCUGGGAAGUUCAAGAUCCAGGCCUCAGAAGAUUUGGGGUUUGGUGAGGGCCAUCUUCUCACUGUAGCCUUACAUGGUGGAAGAGGUAAGGCAGCUCUCUGGAACCUCUUUUAUAAGGGCACUAAUCCCUUUCAUGAGAACUCAGCCCUUAUGAACUCAUCGCCUCCUAAAUUCUCUACCUCCUAACACCAUCACUUUGACAAUCAGAUUUCAACAUAUGAAUUUGUGGGAGUCACCAGCAUUGAGACUAUAGCAACCCCUUAUUAGAAAUAAUUCAUGAGGAACUGAAACUGUUAGGAAACCACUGUGUAAAUGCUGGGAAACAAAGUCAGAUAAAUAAUGCUGAUAAUUACCUGACUGCUUUUGGAACUGUCCUUUUUUGUGAACAUGAGACUACAUCAUUGUCAGUUGAUUGCAGAAGAACCACUAUGAUAUUAUAAUGGGGUCCUGACUCCAUGACUGUGUAAUUCAUGGCUUUCUAACGGUUUAUUAUUGACCUAACUUUGCAGCUCCCCUAGAUCCCCUAACUCCACCAUCUUGGGUUGCAACCAAUGACCUGUUAUUGCAAAACAGGUAAUCUCACUUAGAUAAGUAUUAAUCAGAGGGGCUUGACUUCCAGAGUUCAUUUCAAUGGUUUUCAACUCAUUUGUAGAGUUUAACAUCAGUAGCCCUUUCUCUUCCAUAGGAGGGAGAUGAACCAUCCUGUUUGUUCAAUAAUCAGUGAGAGCGUGGCUUUAACGUCUCUUCCACUCCUUUCUAGUUCAGGUCUUUCUUAACUUGAUGGAGAUAGCUUGGGCCAGGGAGGGCAGAGUGAAGAUGAGAUGGCAAAAAAAAAAAAGUUUUGAUCAGCAGCAUUGACUCUGUGCUAAAUACUGUGCUCAGCUCUUUGGAUGUUAUUUCAUUGAAAUGGAAAGAACACUGUAAAGUUGUCUUGUGAGGCACACUUUCCUGUUGAGGAAAUAAAAGCAUUAAAUAACUUGCCCCCAAAUACAAAGCUAUUAGGAUUGAAACAAAGACUUGAGCCCGGGAUCUAUCUAAUUUCAAGGUCCUUGUUUUUUUUCUACUACAUUUCUCUUUGAGAUACAGUUACUCAAAGGUGUCCAAACUUCAGUUAAUGUCAACCUCUGCCUCACUCUGGUCCUGGUGCCUUUCCCAUGUUCCUGAGAAGAUCAUGUGGCACACUUCUCUAAACGUCUCUGUGCCAUAUCUCUUGGGAUCAAAAGGCCAUUCCAAUAAUUCUUCUGCAUUUCUUAAUGUAUGCUCAGAUGGCCCUGGUUUGCAUUUAGAGAAAGGAAGCUAAGACCUUGGUGAUAACUAAAUAUUUAUAUCUAUUUUUUGAUUAUGUGCUUGUAUUUAAUUAAGUGGGUGCCUACUGUUGUGAAAAUACUUUUGAAUACAAUUCUGAAGUUGUGCCAGGGAACUCUGACAAUGGGUAUGCUGGGAGCUGUCUGAUUUCCUUGUCCUAGACAACUCAUACAAUGCAGUAGAAAAAGAAUUCUUUAUUCCCACUGCCUUUCCUUAGCCCUUCUUCAGAGCAGGGGAAGUGUGACUGUAGCUUUAAAUAGUUUAAAUAGUCCUUCAAAUACGGCAAAUAAAACAGUAUCAAUGAAAAAGAAGAUAAAAUGAGUGGAUUACUCAUAUGAGUUUCAGUUUUAUCAUUCAGUUUCACAGAACUCCAAAGAAUAAUGUGAUUAAGUGGUUUCUUUUUGCAAGGAUUUUCCAGGUGAAAGAUCUGAGCUAUAUAUUGAGGAACCAUAGGAUUAAAAUAGACAUGGGUUUGCUUCUAUGACAGCAUUUUGCAAAAUAACAUGACCAGGUACUAUUGCUCAUGCCUGUCACCCCAGCACCGUGGUCAAGGCAAGUAGAUCACUUGAGGCCAGGAAUUCAAGACCAGCCUGGCUAACAUGGCAAAACCUCAUCUCUAUUAAAAAUACAAAACUUAGCCAGAUCUGGUGGCACAUGCCUGUAAUCCCAGCUACUCAGGAGGCUGAGGCAUGAGAAUCACUUGAGCCUGGCAGGCAGAGGUUGCAGUGAGCCGAGAUUGUGCCACUGUGCUCCAGCCUGGGUGAUAGAGUGAGACCCUGUCUCAAAACAAACAAACAAAGCAAACAAAAACACACACACAAAAAAACCCACCUCUGAUGUGACCCAUGGAUAGAAAACAACAAAUUAAGUUUUAAUGAGACUAUAUAUGCUUGUACUUUAAAAUGGGGCUAAUUCAUAGAUAUAGAAAACUAUACUUAUGACAGUUCAUAUAAAUGAGCCACUGGACUGUCCAAAUUUACCUCUUUUUAUUGUAUGGAC
This 4466-nucleotide long non-coding RNA is filed under the name Homo sapiens (human). Its description in RNAcentral is "HSALNT0150157". The record is from RNAcentral. Lineage: Eukaryota; Metazoa; Chordata; Mammalia; Primates; Hominidae.